RNAcentral lists this ribosomal RNA (229 nucleotides) under uncultured bacterium. RNAcentral describes it as "partial 16S ribosomal RNA". It matches the Rfam family "Bacterial small subunit ribosomal RNA", at positions 568 to 796 of the family's 1533-position model. The record is from RNAcentral.
UCCGUAGGUGGAUAAUUAAGUCAGAGGUGAAAUCCUGCAGCUCAACUGUAGAAUUGCCUUUGAUACUGGUUAUCUUGAGUCAUUAUGAAGUGGUUAGAAUGUGUAGUGUAGCGGUGAAAUGCAUAGAUAUUACACAGAAUACCGAUUGCGAAGGCAGAUCACUAAUAAUGUACUGACACUGAGGGACGAAAGCGUGGGGAGCAAACCGGAUUAGAUACCCGAGUAGUCC